RNAcentral lists this unclassified non-coding RNA (382 nucleotides) under uncultured Paenibacillaceae bacterium. RNAcentral describes it as "contains 16S-23S intergenic spacer region". The record is from RNAcentral. Lineage: Bacteria; Bacillati; Bacillota; Bacilli; Caryophanales; Paenibacillaceae.
UCCGGUUUGUCACCGGCAGUCACUCUAGAGUGCCCAGCCUUACCUGCUGGCAACUAAAGUCAAGGGUUGCGCUCGUUGCGGGACUUAACCCAACAUCUCACGACACGAGCUGACGACAACCAUGCACCACCUGUCUCAACUUUCCCCGAAGGGCACCUGAUGCAUCUCUGCUUCGUUAGUUGGAUGUCAAGACCUGGUAAGGUUCUUCGCGUUGCUUCGAAUUAAACCACAUACUCCACUGCUUGUGCGGGUCCCCGUCAAUUCCUUUGAGUUUCAGUCUUGCGACCGUACUCCCCAGGCGGAGUGCUUACUGUGUUAACUUCGGCACCAAGGGUAUCGAAACCCCUAACACCUAGCACUCAUCGUUUACGGCGUGGACUAC